Long non-coding RNA from Sarcophilus harrisii (Tasmanian devil), 430 nucleotides. RefSeq lists it as uncharacterized. NCBI's taxonomy places the organism in Eukaryota, Metazoa, Chordata, Mammalia, Dasyuromorphia, Dasyuridae. The transcript is spliced from 3 exons. The record is from RefSeq and is a predicted model, not a curated record.
AUAUCUGAAUAAAGAUACACUGCUUGCACCUCCCAAUCGGGUUGUCUCUGUGUUUAUCGGGUGGGCUCUGAAGACUGAAACAGGGGAGAGCACUAAGACAGUUCCCCACUAUCACAAAUGAUGAAGUGGAGUUUCCCCACAUUUGGGGAAAUCACAGGGGUCAGCCCAUCCUGAAUGCAAUGGAUAAGCCUUGCCCUAAGAAAACUAUGGAUCAUGGUUUCGUGAUCAUGGAAGUAUCCUUACCAGGGCAGGAAAUCUUGCAAGCUCUUGGACUCAGACAUUCAUUCCAUCUCAUACCACCUUGGUGGCAGGCUCUCCUCCUUCACAUCUCUGCUGAAACCAAGACUGCAGAAAGGCUCCAGAAAACUAGCAUAGCCCCAAGUAAAGGACAUAAGAUUUUGAAGGAGACAAUAAAGGAUUUGGACUUUAA